Lolium perenne is the source of this 3291-nucleotide long non-coding RNA. RefSeq lists it as uncharacterized. Lineage: Eukaryota; Viridiplantae; Streptophyta; Magnoliopsida; Poales; Poaceae. The record is from RefSeq and is a predicted model, not a curated record.
UAAUUAUUAAGUGUACCCAACCCCAAGCGACACCACUCGCCAAAAAAAUCCUUUCCCCUCCCACCGACAACCCCGAUUGAUCACGUUUCGGCUCCGGCCGGCAGAUCCCGGCCAUCUCCACCGGCGGUAGCUCCUCCCUGCCGGAGCCGGGCCAGCAGCGCCCCAGUUCCCUUCCUCCCCGGCGCACCCCAGAACGGGGGAGAAAAGGCGGCGCGGCUGGCUUGCUUGCCGGCGCCGGCGUGCAUCUUCAGGUCGGUGCGCGCGGCCCCGGCGAGCUCGCUGGCCGCCGUCCCCUGCGUGGCCGAGAAAUUGCGGUGCAUCUGAAGCACCCAGGUGAGUGGGCUACCGGCCUCCAUGGCGGCGCGUCCGUUUCAGUGGCCGGCAGGAGGACGGCUGGAGCUCGCCGCGGCGCAGGCAGGGAGGCGCGGACGAGCUGCUGCUGCUGCCUAAGUCGACCCGGUGCUCCUCCCUGAGCUGUUGGCGGCCGCAACCUCCACGACAACCUGCUGCCUAACAUGUCACACGCGUGGACAGGCGCUGAUGCAGCAUGCCGUUGACUGGGCGUCAGACACCAAGAUGCAUUGCAAGGGACCCACAAAGGGACAGUGGCGUAUUAUCUGGUCUGGCGGCCACCCGUUGCUGUUCCUUUUGGAUCAAUCGACGAGCAGGUGAGCGAAAUCGAGCUGCAGAGCAGGUCGUUCUGGUAUGGUGCCCUAGCCGCCCGGGUUCACCGCCGACGACAUGUCGCCGGUGCUGCCAUUCUGCUCGGCCAGGACUCGAGCAUUUGCGAGAAAUUCAUUGCUGUGCUACACUCUCCUUUGAUGAAGUCAUGUUUAAUCUGGUGUUAUGGUCGGGAUUUGUUCUGCUGCUAUCUUAUGGUUUUGUCUAAAGCGUGAUUUUGCGGAUACAUGUCAAGUUUGUAUCCUUGCUUGUUUACAGGACCUGUAGGUUUGCAUUUAAUUAAUUAGGAAAUGUGGUUGUAAUAGUAUUUAUGCUGACUUAUUCUUUUAAGUAGCCUGGGAUAGUUGUUUAUAUUUGUCAGGCAUGUAUUGCUGGGAGUAGAUUUAUGUAUUGGUGAAGAACAUGUGAAUAUUCAUUGAAACCACUUGGUGGAAAACAAUUUAUUACCUACAAUGCUUGGAAUUAUCUAGUGUAUAAGGAAACAAAGUACUACCCUUUUUAAUCUGGGAUUAUCUGUUAUAAAUGUACACGUUUGAGCUCCACAUUGCCGAAUCUUACUAUUCUUAGUUUCGCUAGUACUGUCUAUUUAUGGUUCAGUGUCAUAUACAUAUUUUACUAUCUUGUUUCCUGGGUUAUUUUUCUUUUGUUUCUUGAUUAGAUUGAUGCACAUGUUGGUGGUGUAAAUGAUAUUGCAUUCGCCCAUCCAAAUAAGCAGCUAUGUAUAAUUACCUGUGCAGAUGAUAAGACGAUAAAGGUAUGGGAGGACACUAGUGUACCUUUUUGAAGGUCAUGAAGCUCAUGUUUAUUCAGUUGGUCCACAUUAUAAGGAAAAUAUUCAGUUCAUCUUAUCAACUGCUUUGGAUGGAAAGAUAGAGGUUUGUGGAAGUUUAUGGAGAUAGCUUAUACAAACCAGUGCAGAACUAGCUGAUAAUCAUGGGACAACUAAGGAGUUGGUGAAAAUGUACUCUAAGUACAUCUAUUUCCCCCUUUAAGGAGGUUGAUGUUGAAGUGCCGGCUCACGAGAAGUAAUCAAGUGAAGAAGAAGAUGCAUCCACAAAUACUAGAGGAAGUAAAGACAUAAGAUGGUGAAGAUAAAAAUCCCAAGAGCAUGCGGGUACUUUGUGAAGAUCUUCGCAUGCUCUCAUACUUCCAUUUCGGUGAACUCUCGGAUUAGGAUGAAGAAGUGGAGCUGUAGCUGGCCAGGAGGGAGCCAUGGUCGCUGAAUCUGGCGUGUCCGACGGUUAUAGCAUUCAUAAGGGAUCCAUGUCCGCCAAACCGGCGUAACUCUAGGACAAAGAAGUGGAGCUGCAGCUGGCCAGUAGAGAGCCAUGGCCGCUGGAUCCGGCGUGACCCAAUCAUUCUAGCAUUGAAGGAAUCCAUGUCCGUUGGGCCAGCGUAACUCUAGGUGAUGGAUGGAUGAGCCAAUCUUCUUGGAACUGGGGACGUGACGCUGCAGUGGUACACGUACUGUUGGUCUGUUGCGGCUGGCGCUCGUGAAGGUGAGAGGUGGAUGUAGCCCUAGUGAUGUGGCGGCAGCGACAAGGGAGGAGAGGAGCUGGAGCUGACCAGGCGAUGUCGGUGAGUUCACCACAGCUGGUUUCUCUACUUCAUCUUCAUGGUUUAGGCAUGGAGAUGUAUCAGACCUUCUGUGUUGAAAAUACCAGCAAUGGAGUUCUAGGAUAUGCUGGGUGGCAUUGCUUUGUUGACUGGGUGUCAUAUGCUUCUCACUUGGAUUUCCUUGCACCGGUGGCUGGCGUUCAUGUGCUUUUUAUUAUCUUUCAUAGUGCCCUCGGUGAGGCAAAGAAGGAUGACAAGGCGGAACAACCAGAAGCUAUCCACUGAGAUGUUGACUGACAAGUUCCCCAAGCUCUAGAUCGACCUGGUCUUCCAGAAGGAGUUUGAGCUGUCACACACCUCCAAGUCCUCCAUCCUCUUCUCUGGGUACAAGUUCUUCCAGACGGCUGACAGAGAUGCGAUGGAUUUUGACUCUGAAGAAGAAUCUCAAGGUGAAGGGGGUGAAGAGAAGAUCGUUCCAGUCAUGAAGGAAAAUGGUACUUCUUCGUCCCUAUGGUUUAGGUGAAGUUCUGCUUCUGCCCUUCUCUCCUAUAUGUGCCCUAUGACAUGAUGGAAAUUGAGCCUUGGUUAUUCUGUGCUCCGACCGUCGAGCCAAUGGUGAUCUACUUAUUAAGGAAUCUACCUUACAACAUAGUUCGAUUUCUACUGGUGUAGCCAUGCUGGCAUUCAGGUUGGCUUUAUGUUAUUUGCAAUUCUUAAUAGUUGACGCGCACCGUUGAAAGGCAAUUCCCAGGCUUAAGCAUUGCUGAAUUGCUGCCAAGCUGUAGUAAUACAUUGCCAGUUUGCUUGAGGCCGGGUGGUAGCUGGAGCUAUGUCUUCCAGCGGUAAGAUUGUCCUUGCAAGUGGCAUGUUGCUUACUUCAAUUGAGAAGCUUGGACUUGACUUGCAAGUUGUUUGUAAUAUUCAUGUUCUUAAAACUGCAUUUCUUUUAUGAUCAGACUAGCUGAAGUCUGCAUUGUAAAUGUGGCAGGAGAUGGUGAUGUAUGUGCUUUGUCCUACUUGAUAUAUGUUUGACUUGAAUGUGCUGAAGGAAUA